GAUGAACGCUAGCGGCAGGCCUAAUACAUGCAAGUCGAGGGGUAGAGAAGAGCUUGCUUUUCUUGAGACCGGCGCACGGGUGCGUAACGCGUAUGCAACCUACCUUUAUCAGGGGAAUAGCCUCUCGAAAGAGAGAUUAACACCGCAUAAAAACACAGUACGGCAUCGUACAAUGUUCAAAUAUUUAUAGGAUAAAGAUGGGCACGCGUGACAUUAGCUAGUUGGUGAGGUAAGGGCUCACCAAGGCGACGAUGUCUAGGGGAUCUGAGAGGAUGACCCCCCACACUGGUACUGAGACACGGACCAGACUCCUACGGGAGGCAGCAGUAAGGAAUAUUGGUCAAUGGGGGCAACCCUGAACCAGCCAUGCCGCGUGCAGGAAGACGGCCCUACGGGUUGUAAACUGCUUUUAUACGGGAAUAAACCCCUUUACGUGUAAAGGGUUGAAUGUACUGUGAGAAUAAGGAUCGGCUAACUCCGUGCCAGCAGCCGCAGUAA
Molecule: ribosomal RNA, 498 nt
Filed under: uncultured bacterium
Lineage: Bacteria
Description: partial 16S ribosomal RNA
Rfam family: Bacterial small subunit ribosomal RNA
Source: RNAcentral